This 77-nucleotide transfer RNA is filed under the name Chitinophaga skermanii. RNAcentral's name for it is "tRNA-Ala". It matches the Rfam family "tRNA". From Rfam's summary of the family: Transfer RNA (tRNA) molecules are approximately 80 nucleotides in length. Their secondary structure includes four short double-helical elements and three loops (D, anti-codon, and T loops). RNAcentral also lists the same sequence under 1 other name. The record is from RNAcentral. Lineage: Bacteria; Pseudomonadati; Bacteroidota; Chitinophagia; Chitinophagales; Chitinophagaceae.
GGGGGAUUAGCUCAGUUGGCUAGAGCGCUUGCAUGGCAUGCAAGAGGCCACCAGUUCGAAUCUGGUAUUCUCCACAA